UGCACUCUCGCUACGCGCAGUUACAGCGCCAUGGCCGCCACCAUGACACAAACAUCCGUCUCCCGUUUUCCGCCACCUCUUCCUCCAACUUCAAGUUCCUGGCCACCCCUCACUCCGCGAGAACCACCGGACGUACCUACCCAUCUGUGCGCAGGUCUCCAGCACCGAUGCUUCAGCCGCUGCCUCGCGCCGGCCAACGAGUAUCCCCCGCCCCAUCGCGUGUUCCUCGUGCACCGAUGGGCAGAGGAGUGAGCGCUCUAUUUCGGAUCGAUUGUGGAUUCGGCGAAUCGGCGAGCGAGCACAGGACGGUCGGGGCGAAUUCGAACCCCGAUCUGGAUAGGUCGAUGGGGAUCGGAGAUUCGGAGUUCGACGCCUCUUCUAAUCCGCUUGCAGAAAUCGAUUGACCGCUAUAAGUCUUAUAGGAAGGAUAAUAAUGUUAAUAACAAGACAGUACAGCCAGAUAUACAGCAAGUCAAAGCCGAUACUGUAAGCUUGGCAAAGAAACUUGAAGCUCUUGAAGUUUCGAAGCUAAAGAUCUUGGGUGAGAAUUUAGGAGGGUGCUCUGCUGAAGAACUGAACUGUCUGGAAGUAAAUAUUGAGAAGAGUCUCCGCAUCAUCAGAGGAAAGAAGACCCAGGUGCUCGAACAGCAGAUAGCUAACCUGAAAGAAAAGGAGAGGACGCUUCUCAAAGACAACGAAGACUUGCGUGGAAAGCAGCGCGACCUUGAGGCUUCGCUGGUGGUUCCUGCCCUGAACUGCGUCACGCCCCUGCAGCCACGUGGCCAGCUGGCACCAGAGCAGGAACCGGUACCGAGCGACGAGGACGUGGAGACGGAGCUCUACAUUGGGUUGCCCGGGGUUCGCUGCUCCAACCGGCGGUCAGGUUAAGCCAAAUAGCUAAUCAGCCGGAAGGUUGAGCCUCACACAAAUAAACUCUCUACAGAUGCAUGAAGUGGCCAAUCAGUAGUCCACCAUUUCUGUUAUUCUCUAUAUUUAGACAGAAUCUAUAAUCUCUUGCAAAGCUAAAUUAGCGGCUGCGACGAUGUCAAACCUGCAGAGAACCUCUGACGACUGAAGGUGAAACGCCAGUACACCAAUUGUUUCUUGCGCAACGGCCGGCAAAUGGAACUAGGGGAGGCAUUCUUGUUAAAAAUAAUUCUGUAAUUAGGGUAAAAUCUCCCCUUGCCCAAAACCGUCGUUGCAGUUUGUCCCGCAACCGACGUCUCCCUUUGAUCUCCUGGAACCGACGUCUCCUCGAGGGAUCGUCGUGUCUCUUCGGGACAUAUAAAAGGGGGCCUGUAACCAUCGAUCAAAGGAUUUGAUCAUUCUGAUUCAAAACACGUUAUCAGCA
This is an RNA transcript of Triticum aestivum (bread wheat), 1351 nucleotides long. It is a transcript of the gene named MADS-box transcription factor 56, with no coding region annotated. The transcript is spliced from 7 exons. The record is from RefSeq and is a predicted model, not a curated record. NCBI's taxonomy places the organism in Eukaryota, Viridiplantae, Streptophyta, Magnoliopsida, Poales, Poaceae.